Long non-coding RNA from Megalobrama amblycephala (Wuchang bream), 2256 nucleotides. RefSeq lists it as uncharacterized. Lineage: Eukaryota; Metazoa; Chordata; Actinopteri; Cypriniformes; Xenocyprididae. The record is from RefSeq and is a predicted model, not a curated record. The transcript is spliced from 3 exons.
CUGUGUUAACGUGGCGUAAUGUAAGUAAACAUCAUACUAAUAGCCCAGAAUUUGAACGCAACGCGUUUAAUUUCACGUUAAACGUUUUCCUCCCAUAGAAACUAUAUGUAACAGUUACAGCAAAGCAGAUGAGCCCAGAAUGAACAGAACCCGUCUUAUUACGCGUUAAGUCACUGUCCAUUAAGCGUUUUCUUUAUGGGAGGAAAAUGCGUAUGUGUUAAAUGUGUUGCGUUCAUAUUCUGGGCUCAUCUGCUUUUCUGUAGUAAACGCCAAACUAAUAAAGCAUUAGCAUUAGUAAAUUAAGCCACGUUAAGCUUUUUCACGUUAAGCAUGUUAUAAUGUCCCUCAUUUUCUGCCUUCCGGCUUAGAAACAAUGGUGAAAGUGAAACUCAAUGAAAAUAAUUUUGACCAAAAUGUGGCUUUGUCAUUUGUAUUUAUUACAGAUUCAUAACUUCUGAUCCGUUUGAAUAUGUACGUGCUCAUGCCAUGAAUAAUGUACGAAAACGCGUUUAGAAAUGUCAUUUGUGAUAUAGCUCAUUGCGAUCACUCUCCGUGUUCAUAAAGCAACACCUCUGAUUCAUUGUUAAGCUUCUCUCUGUAAGAAAUCAUGUAUUUAUUCCAUUUAGGUCCACUAAAACGUACUUGGUGUAGCGAUUCCACAAUAUAAUUAAUUUCAGAGCUGCAUAUACAGAUGGUCAGGCUGUUAUGUUAUCCCUUAAUGCUUUAACAUGAAGAAAUCAGGGCGAUAUGAUGAUAUGCUGGCUGAGAUCAAUCUAUAUUGUGUUUAUUAUUUUAUCUGGCAGAUAUAUCGGUGCCACUUAGUUAUUAAAAACUGAAAUAGAGAAAUCACUUUGGUCCUGUGUGUGGUCCGAUAGAAGGCGUAAGUAUGAUUUCUAUGUAUGUGUAUAUCGUGUCCUGGCCACACGACUGAGCGAUCGAAUGAACACAAGAGAUUCAAAUAUUAGCCCAUUUAUUCUCAGCAAGUACAAGCAGCUCUUUAAAAAAUUAACGUAAAUAAAGUCGUUUUUUCAUCUGGUGAUUUGUAUUUAUUGUCAUUGUACGCUCCUGAGCGUGACCUAAAACAUGGCGGCGACUACCCAGAAUGCAACGCGCAGUGACGUAGUUUGCCAAGCUCUAUUCUGGUGUAGACGUGCCAGAGGGGGUUAGUGCACGCCUCAAACACACCACUACAAGUCAAUUAACCAUCGUAAGGACUUAGAAAACUAUUUAUGAAGGUAAAAAAAGUUACUUAGUUCUGCUUUAACAUGUGAUAUGUGAAUGUGUUGAGGCCGAGUUGUACGGAUGGAGGCACCAGAACUGCAACUGACAGAAUGUGCUUCAAAGGCAGAUAGUGGAGACAAAUCACACGACAUUGGUGUUCGUCAUAAAACACCAAUCACGGGCCCCCUCUACCCGCGGGCCCUGGGGCUUCAGCCCCACCUAGCCCUUAUUUUAAUCCGGCCCUGGUCUUAUAGAUGUGGAACGACAUGAGGUCUCCUACGCCGUUAACCUUAUAAACUUGUAUCAUGGCCAGCUCUUGCAUCAGCAUCACACGCUUACAUCGUAGUGCUCACGUGUACAAUCCGGCCUCAGGAGGCGCAUGUAACCAAAAUGCUUUAGCCAUAGGGCAUGACAUGUACAAAGCUUCAUUGUUUACCUUGAGAAAACAUUGCACUUGCUUCCUUGUGACAAUAUGAAUACAUUUUGAAUGUGCAUAUUUAGACAGUCAGAUCCAUGAUCUAGUAGUCUUAGAUUGCUCGCUGUUCCCAAAGUUAGACUAAAACAAAGAGGAGAACGUGCUUUUGCUGUUGCGGGCCCUAAACUCUGGAACAGGUUACCAGUUAAUAUUAGAUCUGCUCCGACAUUACAAAUUUUUAAAUCUUUGCUUAAAACUCAUUUUUCCAUUCCUUUUAAUGCAUCUUGAUGGUUUAUUUUUGUAUUUUGACUUCUGUUGGUUUUGAUUUCCUUUUGAUAUUUUGUUGGUCAAAUUGUCUCAAUUUUAUAUGUGAAAUUGAAUUUGUGACAUUAUUAUUUAAUUGUUUUUGCUUGCAUUUAUUUUAUCUGAUGUUGUAAUGCACAUUGGUCAGCUGCUGCUGUUUUAAUGGUGCUAUAUAAAUAAACUAAACUUGAACUUGAAACACAUAGUUAUUUACACUGCACACUGAAUAUUUUAAUUAGGGCAUUCGUAAGUGUGCAAAUCACACUGAGCAAACAGCUCCAGUGACUAAUUUUAAUGCCUCUGAUUGGUCAUUACAU